GGAUUGUGGCUCAGAGGUAGAGCACUCGCCUAGCACGCGUGAGGCACUGAGUUCGAUCCUCAGCACCA
Molecule: transfer RNA, 68 nt
Filed under: Marmota monax (woodchuck)
Lineage: Eukaryota; Metazoa; Chordata; Mammalia; Rodentia; Sciuridae
Description: tRNA.Ala
Rfam family: tRNA (bases 5-65)
About the family: Transfer RNA (tRNA) molecules are approximately 80 nucleotides in length. Their secondary structure includes four short double-helical elements and three loops (D, anti-codon, and T loops).
Source: RNAcentral